ACUGGUGCUGAUAAUUGCUCAUUUCUUUUUGUCUUUGUUUUUGGUUCGUUUGAUGCUACAUUUUUGCUCAAUCAGAGAUGGAUCAAAGAAUUGAAAGAUGUGAUACUGACGAUUGACUUAGAUGAUUCUCCACCGACAGAGAUUUGAUUCGGAGGUAAUCAUGAAUAGGUAAAAUAUCUUCUCGAUUGUUCAAAUUUUGGGGAUUUACUCCAUAUUUUUUUUCCUUUCAAAUUUUGGGCCUAUCUGUUUACAUCUUCUCUGUAAUUGUAUUUUGUGGUUUUCUUGAUUUCUCAAUAUGCGACAAUGCAGACAAUUUAUUAUUCAUUUAGUUGGAAUAUAAUGGUUGCAAAAUUAUGAUUUCACGGGUUUUGAAAGUAGUAGCCGAUCAAGGGAAGAAAAUGGCACUGCUUGUGUCGACUCUAAGAGGUAAUUUUUGCACUUUGUUUGUUCUAAUGUUAUAUGCUUAGUUAUAUUUCUAAAUUGUUGUGAAACCUAUAGUAGAUACGACUAAAUAACAAGAUGUGAUAGAAAUAAAAAAUAGCCCAUAACCUGAAAGACUGGUAAUGGAAGAACAAAAACAAUGAUCCACUGGAAAAGGCUAUGAACCAGAAAAGGUAAGCAAGAAAGUUAUACUCAAUCAAAUUUUUCCCAUUUUAUUCAAUCAGAUUACUCCGUGAAAGUUUAUUGGAGAAACAAAUUGGAAGAUUAAAGCUUUUCUCUUUAUUCGUGAAAGAGCCGCGAUGUUGAUGAAUGAGAUGGAGUUUUCUUGUGCCUAGAGAACUACUAAAGAAGCAGCAUAGCCAGUAACAACUUUCUGAUACAUUCAACCUUUAUUUGAAGAAAGUAGAGAGUUCAAAAAAAGUGUUAUUAGCAAAACAAUGACAACAAGCCUGUAAUGGACGGAGCAACUCAUAGUGCUUGUUUCUAUUUGGUGACCUGUCAGCUUGAGGAGCUAAAUAUGCGCGGAAAUAUCUAAUAAGAAAAAAAAUGUGGACUGUGACAACGAGAACAAGUCUAACAAUCAAGACAAGUCUCAUCAAAUAGGAGGAAGAGGUGAGAAGCACAAUUUUCAGGCAAAGCAGAUCAAACGGGAAUCUUAACAAGAAAAGGAAGGAUGAAGAAGAUGCAAGCAAUGAAAAUCCUGCAAUUGAAAAGAGAACUCAUGUUUUUUGGUCUAUAAAGUUUCACAGGGAUUCCUAAUGAAAGCUUCACAUAGAGCUUCAUAGGAAGCUUGUUGCAGCAGUUAAUUAUUUAUGCAUUGGAAGUGAUUUUCUUUAGCAUCACUGUGGUUAAUUUUGACCUGAUGAAUGUUGAAGUAGUUACAAGAGGGAAUGUGGCAAGCCAUCUCCAGGUAUCUUUAUAUAUAGUUUCAUAUGUUUCCUUUAAUCUGCUUUAUAUUUUUACAGAUGGGAUAUAUGUAUGCAAUCCAUGUACAUUGUUUAUGAAUUUUGAAUUUGGCUGGCUCUUGAACUAAGCAUGGAAAGAAUUAUAUAUCCUUUCUUUUAUUACUUUGCUCUCUAUAUUCAACUUUUAGACUUCGCCAUAAAAUCUGCCUUUUGUUGAUAUCUUUUCUUUGAGGAACUUCUAAGAUGUUGUGAAGUAGUAGCCGUCUGUUCUGCUUAAACGACAGGUUUGUACUGCGUAACUCUCUUUUGAAGCUUCUCAUUCUCAGGAAAAAAAAAACCUCUCUUUUGAAGCUUUUUGUGUAGUGCCACUAAAUUUUUCUUCAAGUUACACAAGUUUAUUUAAGACUGUGAAUUCGAAAGUUAAAGAAGGUAAGCAUGAAUCUAAAAACCGAGAGCACAAAAUCUUGUGAGAUUUAGGCAAAAAUCUCCUGAGUUUGCUGCCUAGAAAAUAGAACCUUCUGGUGGUAAGUGUGUGAUAGGGUGGUAAUUAUGUUUUGGUUUUUUUUGCUUCAUCCAUUGUUAUCCUCUUAACUGAUUAUUACAUUUUCGUUUGAUAUGUUUGUUUUUAACUGUUCUACUAUGAUCGGCUUCUAGAUGCAAAGAAGUGUUAACAGAGUAGCUUGCCCCUUGAAGCCUUUCCUUAACAUAUCCACGUAAUGUGCAUACGAAUCUCAUAUUCAUAUAAAUAUUUGUCCUUCUUUGGUCUUCUAAAGUUGAUUUGGAGAGGAACAUAAUAGAGUACAGUUAGAGCUAUAAAUGAUUAACAAAAAUUCAUGAAUGUUUAAAAAGAGGGAGGCCAAAUUUAAGUUUAAGCUUUUGCGGGAUUCAAUUGAAGAAGUCUUUUCCUUUUCUUCUUUAUUUUUUUUUAUAAAAAGGUAAUUUCUUAUACUUGCACACUUUCAUGAAGAAUCAGCAAUAUAUCUUACUAGAAAAAGUGAAGUGGCUUGAAAAAAACCACAUUUUCAGAGUUGUUUCCUAGAAUUGGUUGGUACACCAAUUCUCUUAACCACAGAAAUCUGCUU
Long non-coding RNA from Lycium ferocissimum, 2428 nucleotides. RefSeq lists it as uncharacterized. The record is from RefSeq and is a predicted model, not a curated record. The transcript has 4 exons. NCBI's taxonomy places the organism in Eukaryota, Viridiplantae, Streptophyta, Magnoliopsida, Solanales, Solanaceae.